RNAcentral lists this long non-coding RNA (488 nucleotides) under Pan troglodytes (chimpanzee). RNAcentral's name for it is "long non-coding RNA NONPTRT015645". Lineage: Eukaryota; Metazoa; Chordata; Mammalia; Primates; Hominidae. The record is from RNAcentral.
CUCUAAGCCAGACUUGAUCACCUGUCUGGAGCAAAAUAAAGAGCCCCAGAAUAUAAAGAGAAAUGAGAUGGUAGCCAAACACCCAGUUACAUGUUCUCAUUUCACCCAAGACCUUCAGUCAGAGCAGGGCAUAAAAGAUUCACUCCAAAAAGUGAUACUGAGAAGAUAUGGAAAAUGUGGACAGGAGAAUUUACAAGUAAAAAAAUGCUGUAAAAGUGUAGUAGAGAGAAUAGGAGGAUCUCAUGGCAGAGAAAAAAGAAGGAAUCUCAUUUAUGCAAGAAAUAAUCACCCCUCAUCUGGGACAGCUUACGAAAAACAGAGACCAGAACAUGACCACAUCAAUGGGAAACACAUCAACUUGGUUGCAAGGGCUCACUGGCAUUAUGAAGCAAUGUCUACACAGCCAAAAUAAAUGAUCAGCCUCUGGGAUACCAGUAGUCUACCAGCAAGGCUGUAUUCAUUCUCAUUCUGAUUAAAUUAGCAUUUCU